GCGGUCGUGGCGGAAUGGCAGACGCGCUAGCUUGAGGGGCUAGUGGGAGUACUCCCGUGGAGGUUCGAGUCCUCUCGACCGCA
This 83-nucleotide transfer RNA is filed under the name Anaerobacillus alkalilacustris. RNAcentral's name for it is "tRNA-Leu". It matches the Rfam family "tRNA". From Rfam's summary of the family: Transfer RNA (tRNA) molecules are approximately 80 nucleotides in length. Their secondary structure includes four short double-helical elements and three loops (D, anti-codon, and T loops). RNAcentral also lists the same sequence under 1 other name. Lineage: Bacteria; Bacillati; Bacillota; Bacilli; Caryophanales; Bacillaceae. The record is from RNAcentral.